UACGGGGGGGGCAAGCGUUGUUCGGAAUUAUUGGGCGUAAAGGGUUCGUAGGCGGUCGACUCAGUCAGACGUGAAAUCCCUCGGCUCAACCGGGGAACGACGCAUGAAACUGACAAGCUAGAGUACCAAAGAGGGGGGUGGAAUUCCCGGUGUAGCGGUGAAAUGCGUAGAUAUCUGGAGGAACACCGGUGGCGAAGGCGACAUCCUGGACCGGUAUUGACGCUGAGGCGCGAAAGCCAGGGGAGCAAACGGG
RNAcentral lists this ribosomal RNA (253 nucleotides) under uncultured bacterium. RNAcentral describes it as "partial 16S ribosomal RNA". It matches the Rfam family "Bacterial small subunit ribosomal RNA", at positions 524 to 776 of the family's 1533-position model. The record is from RNAcentral.